Molecule: ribosomal RNA, 497 nt
Filed under: uncultured Desulfobulbus sp.
Lineage: Bacteria; Pseudomonadati; Thermodesulfobacteriota; Desulfobulbia; Desulfobulbales; Desulfobulbaceae
Description: bacterial SSU rRNA
Rfam family: Bacterial small subunit ribosomal RNA
Source: RNAcentral
GCCGCUCAGAAACUUAAGGAAUUGACGGGGCCGCACAAGCGGUGGAGUAUGUGGUUUAAUUCGAUGCAACGCGAAGAACCUUACCUGGUCUUGACAUCCCGGAGACCCUUAGGAAACUAGGGGGUGCUUCCAUCUGGAAGAAUCUGGAGACAGGUGCUGCAUGGCUGUCGUCAGCUCGUGUCGUGAGAUGUUGGGUUAAGUCCCGCAACGAGCGCAACCCUUGCCUUUAGUUGCCAGCAGUUCGGCUGGGCACUCUAAAGGGACUGCCGGUGUUAAACCGGAGGAAGGUGGGGAUGACGUCAAGUCCUCAUGGCCUUUAUGACCAGGGCCACACACGUACUACAAUGGCCGAUACAAAGGGCAGCGACACUGCGAGGUGAAGCCAAUCCCGUAAAAUCGGUCUCAGUCCGGAUUGGAGUCUGCAACUCGACUCCAUGAAGUUGGAAUCGCUAGUAAUCGUGGAUCAGCAUGCCACGGUGAAUACGUUCCCGGGCCUU